UACGGGGGGGGCAAGCGUUGUUCGGAAUUACUGGGCGUAAAGGGCGCGUAGGCGGCCUUGUCAGUCAGGCGUGAAAGCCCCGGGCUCAACCUGGGAACGGCGCUUGGGACGGCGAGGCUGGAGUUCGGGAGAGGAGAGUGGAAUUCCCAGUGUAGAGGUGAAAUUCGUAGAUAUUGGGAAGAACACCGGUGGCGAAGGCGGCUCUCUGGACCGACACUGACGCUGAGGCGCGAAAGCGUGGGGAGCAAACAGG
Molecule: ribosomal RNA, 253 nt
Filed under: uncultured bacterium
Lineage: Bacteria
Description: partial 16S ribosomal RNA
Rfam family: Bacterial small subunit ribosomal RNA
Source: RNAcentral